This 449-nucleotide ribosomal RNA is filed under the name uncultured bacterium. RNAcentral describes it as "partial 16S ribosomal RNA". It matches the Rfam family "Bacterial small subunit ribosomal RNA", at positions 28 to 523 of the family's 1533-position model. The record is from RNAcentral.
GAUGAACGCUGGCGGCAGGCCUAAAACAUGCAAGUCGAACGCCCUAGCAAUAGGGAGUGGCAGACGGGUGAGUAACACGUGGGAACGUGCCUUUUGGUUCGGAACAACACAGGGAAACUUGUGCUAAUACCGGAUAAGCCCUUACGGGGAAAGAUUUAUCACCAAAAGAUCGGCCCGCGUCUGAUUAGCUAGUUGGUGGGGUAACGGCCCACCAAGGCUACGAUCAGUAGCUGGUCUGAGAGGAUGAUCAGCCACACUGGGACUGAGACACGGCCCAGACUCCUACGGGAGGCAGCAGUUAGGAAUCUUGGACAAUGGGCGCAAGCCUGAUCCAGCCAUGCCGCGUGAGUGAUGAAGGCCUUAGGGUUGUAAAGCUCUUUCAGCGGGGAAGAUAAUGACGGUACCCGCAGAAGAAGCCCCGGCUAACUUCGUGCCAGCCGCCGCCGUAA